RNAcentral lists this ribosomal RNA (253 nucleotides) under uncultured bacterium. Its description in RNAcentral is "partial 16S ribosomal RNA". It matches the Rfam family "Bacterial small subunit ribosomal RNA", at positions 524 to 776 of the family's 1533-position model. The record is from RNAcentral.
UACGUAGGGGUCGAGCGUUGUCCGGAGUUACUGGGCGUAAAGCGCGCGCAGGCGGCGCGAUAAGACCGGCGUGAAAGCCCCCGGCUCAACCGGGGAGGGUCGUUGGUGACUGUCGCGCUUGAAGGCAGCAGGGGCGAGUGGAAUUCCCGGUGUAGUGGUGAAAUGCGUAGAGAUCGGGAGGAACACCCGUGGCGAAGGCGGCUCUCUGGACAACAACUGACACUGAGGCACGAAAGCGUGGGGAGCAAACAGG